Suncus etruscus (white-toothed pygmy shrew) is the source of this 195-nucleotide small nuclear RNA. RefSeq annotates it as U2 spliceosomal RNA. The transcript has a single exon. Lineage: Eukaryota; Metazoa; Chordata; Mammalia; Eulipotyphla; Soricidae. The record is from RefSeq and is a predicted model, not a curated record.
AUCGCUUCUCGGCCUUUUGGCUAAGAUCAAGUGCAGUAUCUGUUCUUAUCAGUUUAAUAUCUGAUACAUCGUCUAUCCGACGACAAUAUAUUAAAUGGAUUUUUGGCACUUGGAACUGGAAUAGGAGCUUGCUCCGUCCAUUCCAUGCAUUGAUUGACCUGGUAAUGCAGUACCUCCAGGAAUGGUGCAAAAAAA